Molecule: ribosomal RNA, 375 nt
Filed under: uncultured bacterium
Lineage: Bacteria
Description: bacterial SSU rRNA
Rfam family: Bacterial small subunit ribosomal RNA
Source: RNAcentral
UAAGACGAACCGUGCGAACGUUGUUCGGAAUCACUGGGCUUAAAGGGCGCGUAGGCGGGUCGAAAAGUCCGGGGUGAAAUCCCUCCGCUCAACGGGGGAACGGCCUCGGAUACUGUCGGCCUGGAGGGGGAUAGGGGCGAGCGGAACGCUGGGUGGAGCGGUGAAAUGCGUUGAUAUCCAGCGGAACUCCGGUGGCGAAGGCGGCUCGCUGGAUCCUUACUGACGCUGAGGCGCGAAAGCCAGGGGAGCGAACGGGAUUAGAUACCCCGGUAGUCCUGGCCCUAAACGAUGGGGACUAGGUAGUCGGCCGGCAUGGGCUGACUGCCGGAGCCAAAGUGCUAAGUCCCCCGCCUGGGGAGUAUGGCCGCAAGGCUG